AGUAGGCGCGAGUGGGCGGAGCACCGCGUAAAGUGAAGGCAGGGAGGAGCAAGUAGGCGCAACCAGGGAAAGAAACUCAACCUCGACCCCGACUGGCAGUGCCUCACCUUCCGCUCAGCAAAUACAACUUCCCCAUACCUAACAUCCUAGAUGAACACUGAAAACUACCCAACCUCUAGGAAGAUUUCACCAGUAACGGCUCUCACUAAUGAACGCUGGAUUCGGAUUACUUUACUGAAUUGUUCACCAUCAUGACAAUUAUACCCAGUAUGCGCGUGUGAAGAAAAUGAGACAAAUAUAAUUAUUUCCCUGUUCUAAAUAAAAGUGAAUCGUGUUAUUGGAGGAUAAA
Long non-coding RNA from Hyaena hyaena (striped hyena), 349 nucleotides. RefSeq lists it as uncharacterized. The record is from RefSeq and is a predicted model, not a curated record. Lineage: Eukaryota; Metazoa; Chordata; Mammalia; Carnivora; Hyaenidae. The transcript is spliced from 2 exons.